UACGUAGGGUGCAAGCGUUGUCCGGAAUUAUUGGGCGUAAAGAGCUCGUAGGCGGUUCGUCGCGUCGGCUGUGAAAUCCCGGAGCUCAACUCCGGGUCUGCAGUCGAUACGGGCGGACUUGAGUUCGGCAGGGGGGACUGGAAUUCCUGGUGUAGCGGUGAAAUGCGCAGAUAUCAGGAGGAACACCGGUGGCGAAGGCGGGUCUCUGGGCCGAUACUGACGCUGAGGAGCGAAAGCGUGGGGAGCGAACAGG
This 253-nucleotide ribosomal RNA is filed under the name uncultured bacterium. RNAcentral describes it as "partial 16S ribosomal RNA". It matches the Rfam family "Bacterial small subunit ribosomal RNA", at positions 524 to 776 of the family's 1533-position model. The record is from RNAcentral.